This 84-nucleotide transfer RNA is filed under the name Geodermatophilus siccatus. Its description in RNAcentral is "tRNA_Arg_TCG". It matches the Rfam family "tRNA". Rfam says of the family: Transfer RNA (tRNA) molecules are approximately 80 nucleotides in length. Their secondary structure includes four short double-helical elements and three loops (D, anti-codon, and T loops). Further hydrogen bonds mediate the characteristic L-shaped molecular structure. tRNAs have two regions of fundamental functional importance: the anti-codon, which is responsible for specific mRNA codon recognition, and the 3' end, to which the tRNAs corresponding amino acid is attached (by aminoacyl-tRNA synthetases). tRNAs cope with the degeneracy of the genetic code in two manners: having more than one tRNA (with a specific anti-codon) for a particular amino acid; and 'wobble' base-pairing, i.e. permitting non-standard base-pairing at the 3rd anti-codon position. The record is from RNAcentral. Lineage: Bacteria; Bacillati; Actinomycetota; Actinomycetes; Geodermatophilales; Geodermatophilaceae.
GCGGGAGUGGUGCAACGGCAGCCACACCAGACUUCGGCUCUGGUGCCUGUGUGCGUGCGGAUUCGACUCCCGCCUACCGACCGA